AAGUCGUAACAAGGUUUCCGUAGGUGAACCUGCGAAAGGAUCAUCAACAAAUCUAAAUAAUGUUGCAAGCCUCUUUCUUUUUCUUUUUCAUCUUUUUCAUUUGAGGAAGGUGGAGAAGGGCGGAAAGAGGUUGGCAGCAAUAUACCAAUGUGAAUUGACACUAUCUGCUACCCACCUUUAGGUGAUUGUGUAGAAUGUGUUUAUUAAGUCUAUGCUGUUUUGACAGCAUAAACAUUAACGAGUUUAAAUAGAGUCUGUUUAAAAUAUAUAAUCUUAUACAACUUUUAACAAUGGAUCUCUUGGCUCUU
Molecule: unclassified non-coding RNA, 308 nt
Filed under: fungal sp.
Lineage: Eukaryota; Fungi
Description: partial internal transcribed spacer region
Rfam family: Eukaryotic small subunit ribosomal RNA (bases 1-46)
Source: RNAcentral